CAUCGAGUGGCGGGCGCUGGUCACCAGUCCCGUCACGAGAGGGAACCCGGUGAGAAUCCGGGACUGUCCCGCAGCGGUAAGUGGGAACGACCACCGUCAAUAAGCACUGGUACGCAGGGCCCUGCAUCCGGGAAGCGACGGUCAGUAGGAACACCGGAUCGUUGGUGUGCGCCCGCGAGUCCGAAGACCUGCCAGUUGUGCCGGGCGUGC
This 210-nucleotide non-coding RNA is filed under the name Mycolicibacterium insubricum. The record is from RNAcentral. Lineage: Bacteria; Bacillati; Actinomycetota; Actinomycetes; Mycobacteriales; Mycobacteriaceae.